RNAcentral lists this ribosomal RNA (460 nucleotides) under uncultured bacterium. Its description in RNAcentral is "partial 16S ribosomal RNA". It matches the Rfam family "Bacterial small subunit ribosomal RNA", at positions 338 to 795 of the family's 1533-position model. The record is from RNAcentral.
CCUACGGGAGGCAGCAGUGAGGAAUAUUGGUCAAUGGGCGCGAGCCUGAACCAGCCAAGUAGCGUGAAGGAUGACUGCCCUACGGGUUGUAAACUUCUUUUAUAAGGGAGUAAAGUGAGGCACGUGUGCCUUUUUGCAUGUACUUUAUGAAUAAGGAUAGGCUAACUCCGUGCCAGCAGCCGCGGUAAUACUGAGGAUACGAGCGUUAUCCGGAUUUAUUGGGUUUAAAGGGAGCGUAGAUGGGUUGUUAAGUCAGUUGUGAAAGUUUGAGGCUCAAACGUAAAAUUGCAAUUGAUACUGGCAGCCUUGAGUACAGUUGAGGUAGGCGGAAUUCGUGGUGUAGCGGUGAAAUGCUUAGAUAUCACGAAGAACUCCGAUUGCGAAGGCAGCUUACUAAACUGCCACUGACAUUGAUGCACGAAAGUGUGGGUAUCAAACAGGAUUAGAUACCCCUGUAGUC